Long non-coding RNA from Xenopus laevis (African clawed frog), 813 nucleotides. RefSeq lists it as uncharacterized. The record is from RefSeq and is a predicted model, not a curated record. The transcript has 4 exons. NCBI's taxonomy places the organism in Eukaryota, Metazoa, Chordata, Amphibia, Anura, Pipidae.
UGUCAUUGGGGGGCGGAACCUACAGUGCUUCACUGUAGACUCGAGGAAGCUUGUCCUAAACUCCGCCCUCCCUGUGACUGGAGUUUAGUGUAGUGCGGGGAGGGGGGGGGGCAGUAAACAACUGAAAGCAUGGCUCCAUUCCUCUUCUACACUGCUGCCUGGCCUGGAUUUCGUGCAUCUGAUGAACUGCUGAUGAACGCUUGGAGAUAUGCACUGGAUAAAUAUGGUAAAGAAGCUUACCACACAUAACUACUUUUUUUGGCAGUGUUAGAUUCAUCCUCAUAAAGAGUAGGGCAUGCAGCACCUAGAUUGGUUUCUAGGCCUUGUCUCACAACAGCUCCAUCUUGGAACCCCAACGAGCAGCAAUGGAGACAUAUGGAGACAUCCCUCCAGUAAUGAAAUCCAUAGAGAAGAUUACUGUGGUAGAUUGCUGUGACUAUUUUCCGUAUUGCUUGGACUGGGUGACGGUGUUUGAUGAAGCCUACUUGGUGUUCGGUGUGUCUAAUAUCUCCCGAUCUUGGACCGUCAAUUUAUGAAGUUCAGCUUCCCUCAGAAAUUGUAGACCGUCUUGCGGGUCAUCGGAUGAUGGUUCAUAAAAUUUUUUGAAAUGUUCAGUUAUUAUGUCUCUAAUUUGUUUUGUAUUUUGUGUCCAUCCUGUUGGCGUUUUAAUUUUUUGUAUAUAUGUGUUUCGUGUUUGUUUCUUUGCUAUUUGUGCUAGUAGUUUUCCUGAUUUGUUGCCAUAUCUGUAAAAUUUAUUGGCAGUGUGGCUAAUGGAUUUAUGUGCUUUUUCCGUCAAUAAAGUAUCAAAAAGUU